This 386-nucleotide ribosomal RNA is filed under the name uncultured bacterium. Its description in RNAcentral is "bacterial SSU rRNA". It matches the Rfam family "Bacterial small subunit ribosomal RNA", at positions 29 to 417 of the family's 1533-position model. The record is from RNAcentral.
AUUGAACACUGGCGGCAUGCUUUACACAUGCAAGUCGAACGGCAGCGCGGGGGCAACCCUGGCGGCGAGUGGCGAACGGGUGAGUAAUGCAUCGGAACGUAUCCUGUAAUGGGGGAUAACGUAGCGAAAGUUACGCUAAUACCGCAUACGCUCGAGAGAGGAAAGUGGGGACCGCAAGACCUCACGUUAUAGGAGCGGCCGAUGUCCGAUUGGCUAGUUGGUGGGGUAAAGGCCUACCAAGGCGACGAUCGGUAGCUGGUCUGAGAGGAUGAUCAGCCACACUGGGACUGAGACACGGCCCAGACUCCUACGGGAGGCAGCAGUGGGGAAUUUUGGACAAUGGGCGAAAGCCUGAUCCAGCCAUGCCGCGUGCGGGAAGAAGGCCU